Molecule: non-coding RNA, 113 nt
Organism: Acanthosepion pharaonis
Lineage: Eukaryota; Metazoa; Mollusca; Cephalopoda; Sepiida; Sepiidae
Source: the annotation of a GenBank genome assembly
UCCGGCCAUGCUACGUUGAAAUUCCGGUUCUCAUACGAUUACCGAAGUUAAGCAACGUUGAGCCUGGUUAGUAACUAAAUGGUUGAUCGCUUCGGAAUACCAGGUGCUGUAGG